RNAcentral lists this ribosomal RNA (2360 nucleotides) under Salmonella enterica subsp. enterica serovar Enteritidis. RNAcentral's name for it is "partial 23S ribosomal RNA". It matches the Rfam family "Bacterial large subunit ribosomal RNA", at positions 598 to 2925 of the family's 2925-position model. Lineage: Bacteria; Pseudomonadati; Pseudomonadota; Gammaproteobacteria; Enterobacterales; Enterobacteriaceae. The record is from RNAcentral.
UGCGUACCUUUUGUAUAAUGGGUCAGCGACUUAUAUUCUGUAGCAAGGUUAACCGAAUAGGGGAGCCGGAGGGAAACCGAGUCUUAAUUGGGCGUUAAGUUGCAGGGUAUAGACCCGAAACCCGGUGAUCUAGCCAUGGGCAGGUUGAAGGUUGGGUAACACUAACUGGAGGACCGAACCGACUAAUGUUGAAAAAUUAGCGGAUGACCUGUGGCUGGGGGUGAAAGGCCAAUCAAACCGGGAGAUAGCUGGUUCUCCCCGAAAGCUAUUUAGGUAGCGCCUCGUGAAUUCAUCUCCGGGGGUAGAGCACUGUUUCGGCUAGGGGGCCAUCCCGGCUUACCAACCCGAUGCAAACUGCGAAUACCGGAGAAUGUUAUCACGGGAGACACACGGCGGGUGCUAACGUCCGUCGUGAAGAGGGAAACAACCCAGACCGCCAGCUAAGGUCCCAAAGUCAUGGUUAAGUGGGAAACGAUGUGGGAAGGCCCAGACAGCCAGGAUGUUGGCUUAGAAGCAGCCAUCAUUUAAAGAAAGCGUAAUAGCUCACUGGUCGAGUCGGCCUGCGCGGAAGAUGUAACGGGGCUAAACCAUGCACCGAAGCUGCGGCAGCGACACUGUGUGUUGUUGGGUAGGGGAGCGUUCUGUAAGCCUGUGAAGGUGUGUCGUGAGGCAUGCUGGAGGUAUCAGAAGUGCGAAUGCUGACAUAAGUAACGAUAAAGCGGGUGAAAAGCCCGCUCGCCGGAAGACCAAGGGUUCCUGUCCAACGUUAAUCGGGGCAGGGUGAGUCGACCCCUAAGGCGAGGCCGAAAGGCGUAGUCGAUGGGAAACGGGUUAAUAUUCCCGUACUUGGUGUUACUGCGAAGGGGGGACGGAGAAGGCUAUGUUGGCCGGGCGACGGUUGUCCCGGUUUAAGCGUGUAGGUGUGUGUUCCAGGUAAAUCCGGUUCACUUUAACACUGAGGCGUGACGACGAGGCACUACGGUGCUGAAGCAACAAAUGCCCUGCUUCCAGGAAAAGCCUCUAAGCAUCAGGUAACAUCAAAUCGUACCCCAAACCGACACAGGUGGUCAGGUAGAGAAUACCAAGGCGCUUGAGAGAACUCGGGUGAAGGAACUAGGCAAAAUGGUGCCGUAACUUCGGGAGAAGGCACGCUGACACGUAGGUGAAGUGAUUUACUCAUGGAGCUGAAGUCAGUCGAAGAUACCAGCUGGCUGCAACUGUUUAUUAAAAACACAGCACUGUGCAAACACGAAAGUGGACGUAUACGGUGUGACGCCUGCCCGGUGCCGGAAGGUUAAUUGAUGGGGUCAGCGCAAGCGAAGCUCCUGAUCGAAGCCCCGGUAAACGGCGGCCGUAACUAUAACGGUCCUAAGGUAGCGAAAUUCCUUGUCGGGUAAGUUCCGACCUGCACGAAUGGCGUAAUGAUGGCCAGGCUGUCUCCACCCGAGACUCAGUGAAAUUGAACUCGCUGUGAAGAUGCAGUGUACCCGCGGCAAGACGGAAAGACCCCGUGAACCUUUACUAUAGCUUGACACUGAACAUUGAGCCUUGAUGUGUAGGAUAGGUGGGAGGCUUUGAAGUGUGGACGCCAGUCUGCAUGGAGCCGACCUUGAAAUACCACCCUUUAAUGUUUGAUGUUCUAACGUGGACCCGUUACCCGGGUUGCGGACAGUGUCUGGUGGGUAGUUUGACUGGGGCGGUCUCCUCCUAAAGAGUAACGGAGGAGCACGAAGGUUGGCUAAUCCUGGUCGGACAUCAGGAGGUUAGUGCAAUGGCAUAAGCCAGCUUGACUGCGAGCGUGACGGCGCGAGCAGGUGCGAAAGCAGGUCAUAGUGAUCCGGUGGUUCUGAAUGGAAGGGCCAUCGCUCAACGGAUAAAAGGUACUCCGGGGAUAACAGGCUGAUACCGCCCAAGAGUUCAUAUCGACGGCGGUGUUUGGCACCUCGAUGUCGGCUCAUCACAUCCUGGGGCUGAAGUAGGUCCCAAGGGUAUGGCUGUUCGCCAUUUAAAGUGGUACGCGAGCUGGGUUUAGAACGUCGUGAGACAGUUCGGUCCCUAUCUGCCGUGGGCGCUGGAGAACUGAGGGGGGCUGCUCCUAGUACGAGAGGACCGGAGUGGACGCAUCACUGGUGUUCGGGUUGUCAUGCCAAUGGCACUGCCCGGUAGCUAAAUGCGGAAGAGAUAAGUGCUGAAAGCAUCUAAGCACGAAACUUGCCCCGAGAUGAGUUCUCCCUGAGACUUAAAGUCUCCUGAAGGAACGUUGAAGACGACGACGUUGAUAGGCCGGGUGUGUAAGCGCAGCGAUGCGUUGAGCUAACCGGUACUAAUGAACCGUGAGGCUUAACCUUACAACGCCGAAG